RNAcentral lists this ribosomal RNA (440 nucleotides) under Corynebacterium matruchotii. Its description in RNAcentral is "bacterial SSU rRNA". It matches the Rfam family "Bacterial small subunit ribosomal RNA", at positions 33 to 478 of the family's 1533-position model. The record is from RNAcentral. Lineage: Bacteria; Bacillati; Actinomycetota; Actinomycetes; Mycobacteriales; Corynebacteriaceae.
ACGCUGCCGGCGUGCUUACACAUGCAAGUCGACGGAAAGCCCCCACCUUUUUGGUGGGGUGCUCGAGUGCGAACGGGUGAGUACACGUGGGUGAUCUGCCCUGUACUUCGGAUAAGCUUGGAAACUGGUCUAAUACCGGAUAGGACCAUGGUUUAGUGUCUCAUGGUGAAAAAUUAUUGUUUUGGUGCAGGUUGAGCUCGCGGCCUAUCAGCUUGUUGGUGGGGUAAUGCCUACCAAGGCGUCGACGGGUAGCCGGCCUGAGAGGGUGACGGCCACAUUGGGACUGAGAUACGGCCAGACUCCUACGGGAGGCAGCAGUGGGGAAUAUUGCACAAUGGGCGCAAGCCUGAUGCAGCGACGCCGCGUGGGGGAUGACGGCCUUCGGGUUGUAACUCCUUUCGUAGGGACGAAGCCACGCCUUUUGGGUGUGGUGACGGUAC